This 243-nucleotide ribosomal RNA is filed under the name uncultured bacterium. RNAcentral's name for it is "partial 16S ribosomal RNA". It matches the Rfam family "Bacterial small subunit ribosomal RNA", at positions 534 to 776 of the family's 1533-position model. The record is from RNAcentral.
GCAAGCGUUGUUCGGAUUUACUGGGCGUAAAGGGCGCGUAGGCGGUAGCACAAGUCAGUUGUGAAAUCUCCGGGCUUAACUCGGAAAGGUCAACUGAUACUGUGCGACUAGAGUGCAGAAGGGGCAACUGGAAUUCUCGGUGUAGCGGUGAAAUGCGUAGAUAUCGAGAGGAACACCUGCGGCGAAGGCGGGUUGCUGGGCUGACACUGACGCUGAGGCGCGAAAGCCAGGGGAGCGAACGGG